GGAGAAUAAGGUAACGAAAUUUUCCAAAUUUGUUUUCAAUUUAUAUUCGUGCCUUAAACAGUUUAUGUGGUUGUACAUGAAGUUUGAGUUCCAUUUGACAAAGGUUAACUCAACAACGGAGAUUCGACUACACUAUGCCCCCGAUGAGCGAAGGUUUGUUUUAAAUGAAAAAGGUAAAAUCGACCCUUAUUAUUCUGCUUAUCGAGGUAAGAUGCUUGAAACCUUUGAAACACUUUUGUACUCCUCGGAUAGUGAUAAAGAUCGUGUUGAUGAACACUUAGAUCGAAACGUGCUUGACUGUCCUAUUUUAUUUAUUGAUGAUCUAUCUGUUUUGAUGGUUGAUAAAAAGAUUCUUGUUUUUGAUAAUGCAUGUGUGAGUGAAUCUAUAGACCGUCGAUUAAUGCAUGGUAUGAUUAUGCAACUCUGUGAACCAUGUGAAUCUUUUCAAAUACCUACUUGUGACGAUUAUGUUUACCAUUUGAUUUAUUACUCGUAAUUUAUUCAUGGUUUGUGGGAACAAUGUGAGACGACUGAAUGCCUUAAAACAUGUCCAUCUUUGUUUCAAAUAUUUGACAAGGCAGUGGUGAGUAAAUUAGAUUGUUUGCAUGGUAAUCUGAAUCUGUCCAUUCACAUGCGUUAUACUUGUUCUGUUAUGCUUAUGAUUGGACUACAAGCUUGUUUCCUUUGCUAUUUACUAUCUCAUGGCUAUUCUUUUCAGUGGACUCAAUUGCCAUUAGUCCCGUUCGAUAGAGGAAAGUCGAGUUCAUUUGAUUUUUCAGAUUCGAGGACGAAUCUUUUUGAGGAAGGGGGGAAUGAUACGAGUCACAAAAGCCCAAAUUCUUGAAGGCGAGGCCCAAUAAGCAAAUUCCCAGCCCAAUCAAGAAAUCCAUCCAUACUUAGUUGAAAAUCAGGCCAAAUUGUCAAAGUGGCCCAAGUUGUAAAGUUUUAUUUUUAUUUUUAUUUAUUUAUUUACUUAGUUUAAAUUUUUAUGUCAAUAUUCAGUCCAAGAGUCCCAGAUAAAAUGACCUUUGACCAAAUUUCUAUAUUAAAAUAAUUAGGAGUUUUUUUUAUUUUAAUUUUCUAAUUAGAUUAGGACUAGUUAUAAGGCCUAUUUAAAGGCAUGGCUGUCCACCUUGUUAAACACUUAUCAUUAUUAUUAAAAUUUCAGAUUUGUUGAGAGCAGAACUUUCUUUGAGUUUUCUCCAAGAUUUCUCUCUUGAGUUUUCUUUAGAAGUUGUUUUAACAAUCUUGUGAUUGUGGGAGCCAUCUUCAACCUUCUUCUUGCCAUUGAUAUUCUUUGGAGGGUAGAUUAGAGCCGUUUGAAGGGAGUUGUGAGAUCUUUCGAGAUUUCAAGGCUUCUUAGGACUUAUCUUUUAAUUUCUUACUGUCAAUUCUUUCUUUAUUUCUACUUGUGCUGAAUCAUUAUCUAAUCUAUUUUCUAUUCUUAUUGUGUUUUCAGCCUUUUUCUAUCUUAAGGAAUCAGCCCAAAAAUCCCCAAUUUCUAGGGUUUUUCCAUACUCUUUUUGGGUGAAAUUAGAUUGUCGAAAUUUGGGGAAAACUAUCUUGGUGUUCAAUUGGGCAGAAUCACAAUCUCCUUGAGGGUUUCAAGAACCCUAACACUUAUUUCUAUUCUCAAUUUGAUUCUUUGCUGAUUUGGGGAUUUUAUUUCAGAUCUGAAAAUUCAAAAAUCUAAUCUUUUAAUUUUCUGUUUCGUUUCGGAUCUGAUUGUUUAGGGUUUUCGUAGGAGUUUCUCGUGACUUGGCAACUCGAUCUUGGUCCGCACGCAACCCCGUAUCAUUUGGUAUCAGAUUUUGGGCGUUUUGGGUGUUCUUGGUUGAUUUCUAAACUGAUCUCUAUUUUUUAAAGCAUAAACAGCAGUUUUACCCAGAAAAAUUGUUCAAAAAAAUUCAUUUGAGUGGGUAAACGUUGUCCGAUUGAUCUGAAAUUUUACAUACAUGUGUUUGGCACUAUGAUUGAAUAUAAAAAAAUUAUUCCCGCAAAAAAAUCAGUCAAAAAGUCAAAAAAAUCGAAAAAAAGAUGAAAUCCAAUAAAAAUUUUAAAAAAAUUCAGCGGGUUGAGUUUGGUGCCCAAACUUUCCAGAUCAAAAAUUAAAUAUUUAAGGACAUUCGAGAUUUAAUUUUGUGAUUUUUUGAGAUCAGGAACACCUCGAACGAAGUUGUCAAGUUACUCCACAGUUUUUCGGGUUUUCUGUUUUCAGCAAUUUUUAUUGAUUCUUAGCUGUAGGUUUUCAUUUGUUUGCUUUUUAUUAUCCUUUUAAAAUAUCUAACACCUUCUUGUUUCUUGUGUUAGUAGGAUUUAAACGUGUGCACAAUCCUUCCUCGGUGCAACACGAAUCACUUGGUGUCUCGUCAGUUUUUGGCAUCCUAGUGCAAAUUAGGAUUCUUUGGUAGUUUGGUUCACACUCUCUAAUUGGUUGAUAUAAACUCUGAUAAAGAACUCACAAGAUUGAAUUCGACCUCAUUGAGAAUUUGAUUUUUUCUUUUUGAGUGAUUAACGGUGAGGUUUGAUAACUUUUAUUUUUGAGUGUUGAGUGUUUAUUUUUUACAGGUUUUGAAGAUGUCUAAAGGUGAUAAUAAUGAUGCACUUAUGAAAGUCCAACAACAGUUAGACAGAUAUACUGCUGCAAUCACACAAAUAAAUGCUACACUUCAAGCAUUGAAUACUACUUUGAAUGAGGUACGAGUGAAUCAAAAACAUCAAUAUCGAGAUCCAAUUAAGGAAUAUAGGGAUAACCAGCCCCAUAGGUGCAACCCUCAACGUGUCCCUAGAAUGGAUGAUGAUUGUCAUGAUCAUGGACAAUCAUCUUUGGCAAAACCAAAGAGCGAGCAGCAACGAGAACAUCUCUUUCAUACUCGCUGCCACGUACAAGGUAAGCUUUGUAGAGUUAUUAUUGAUGGUGAAAGUUGCUCGAACAUAGCCAGCACGACGAUGGUGGAAAAGCUUUGCUUAACCACUACCAAGCAUCCACAACCUUAUCAACUACAAGGGCUUAGCAACGAAGGCCAAUUUAGGGUCACUCAACAAGUGCGCAUCGCCUUUUCUAUCGGUAAGUAUCAAGACGAAGUUGUGUGCGACGUAAUGCCUAUUCAAGCCUGCCAUUUGUUGCUAGGAGAACCGUGGCAACUAGAUCGAAAAGUCACUCACGAUGGUCGUACCAAUAGGUAUUCUUUCAAGCAUCAAGGAAAGAAACUCACCCUAGUGCCGCUCACUCUAGAACAAGUCCAUGAGGACCAAAUCAAACUGAAAAAUUCUGUUAAAACAAGUGAGGAAAAAGAAAAAGAGAAUGAAAAAGAGCAAAAAGAGAUUGAGAGUGAAAAAGAAAUUGAAGAAAGAAGAGAAAAUGAAUUAGAAAAAGAAACAAAAGAAAAAGACGUGGAAAGGGUAGUGGGGAAUGUUUCCACUAACCAAGAUAUGAAUUUUUCUUGUGUUGCUACUUUUCAGGUUCCCGAAAGAUCGAAAGAUAACUUUCAACUUCAAUACCUCUCAAAUGAAAGACGCUUUCAUACGAUCAACUUAAGCAAAGAUGAAAUCACACUACAUGAUCCCGAAGGUAAGCGAGGUAAGGAAAUUUUAGAAACCGAGUCCAGUGCAGAUUUGAAAAUUAUUGAUAAAACUUUUGGUGACUUAGUUCUUAAAAGAUCCCCUCAUUUUGAUCCGAUUAAUUGUUACUCUUCGAUUGUGGUUGAUAAAUUCAUUACGAAAAGAAGCGUGAUUUGUUAUUCUCUUGAUUUACCUUGUGUAAAAUCCUUGAAUUUGUCCAAAUCUCUUUUGGAGAAUAAGGUAACGAAAUUUUCCAAAUUUGUUUUCAAUUUAAAUUUGUGCCUUAAACAGUUUAUGUGGUUGUACAUGAAGUUUGAGUUCCAUUAGACAAACGUUAACUCAACAACGAAGAUUCGACUACACUAUGCCCCCGAUGAGUGAAGGUUUGUUUUAAAUGAAAAAGGUAAAAUCGACCCUUAUUCUUCUGCUUAUCGAGGUAAGAUGCUUGAAACCUUUGAAACACUUUUGUAUUCCUCGGAUAGUGAUAAAGAUCGUGUUGAUGAACACUUAGAUCGAAACGUGCUUGACUGUCCUAUUUGAUUUAUUGAUGAUCUAUCUGUUUUGAUGGUUGAUAAAAAGAUUCUUGUUUUUGAUAAUGCAUGUGUGAGUGAAUCUAUAGACCGUCGAUUAAUGCAUGGUAUGAUUAUGCAACUCUGUGAACCAUGUGAAUCUUUUCAAAUACCUACUUGUGACGAUUAUGUUUACCAUUUGAUUUAUUACUCGCAAUUUAUUCAUGGUUUGUGGGAACAAUGUGAGACGACUGAAUGCCUUAAAACAUGUCCAUCUUUGUUUCAAAUAUUUGACGAGGCAGUGGUGAGUAAAUUAGAUUGUUUGCAUGGUAAUCUGAAUCUGUCCAUUCACAUGCGUUAUACCUGUUCUAUUAUGCUUAUGAUGGACUACAAGCUUAUUUCCGUUGCUAUUUACUAUCUCAUGGCUAUUCUUCUCAGUGGACUCAAUUGCCAUUAGUCCCGUUCGAUAGAGGAAAGUCGAGUUCAUUUGAUUUUUCAGAUUCGAGGACGAAUCUUUUUGAGGAAGGGGGAAUGAUACUAGUCACAAAAGCCCAAAUUCUUGAAGGCGAGGCCCAAUAAGCAAAUUCCCAGCCCAAUCAAGAAAUCCAUCCAUACUUAGUUGAAAAUCAGGCCAAAUUGUCAAAGUGGCCCAAGUUGUAAAGUUUUAUUUUUAUUUUUAUUUAUUUAUUUACUUAGUUUAAAUUUUUAUGUCAAUAUUCAGUCCAAGAGUCCCAGAUAAAAUGACCUUUGACCAAAUUUCCAUAUUAAAAUAAUUAGGAGUUUUUUUUAUUUUAGUUUUCUAAUUAGAUUAGGACUAGUUAUAAGGCCUAUUUAAAGGCAUGGCUGUCCACCUUGUUAAACACUUAUCAUUAUUAUUAAAAUUUCAGAUUUGUUGAGAGCAGAAUUUUCUUUGAGUUUUCUCCAAGAUUUCUCUCUUGAGUUUUCUUUAGAAGUUGUUUUAACAAUCUUUUGAUUGUGGGAGCCAUCUUCAACCUUCUUCUUGCCAUUGAUAUUCUUUGGAGGGGAGAUUAGAGCCGUUUGAAGGGAUUUGUGAAAUCUUUCGGGAUUUCAAGGAUCUUUAAGACUUUCUUUAUUUCUUGCUGUUUCGUUUUAUUUCUUUAUUUCUACUUGUGCUGAAUCAUUAUCUAAUCUAUUUUCUGUUCUUAUUGUGUUUUCAGCCUUUUUCUAUCUUAAGGAAUCAGCCCAAAAAUCCCCAAUUUCUAGGGUUUUUCCAUACUCUUUUUGGGUGAAAUUAGAUUGUCGAAAUUUGGGAAAAACUAUCUUGGUGUUCAAUUGGGCAGAAUCACAAUCUCCUUGAGGGUUUCAAGAACCCUAACACUUAUUUCUAUUCUCAAUUUGAUUCUUUGCUGAUUUGGGGAUUUUAUUUCAGAUCUGGAAAUUUAAAGUUCUAAUCUUUUAAUUUUUCUGUUUCGUUUCGGAUCUGAUUGUUUAGGGUUUUCGUAGGAGUUUCUCGUGACUUGGCAACUAAAUCUUGGUCCGCGCGCAACCCCGUAUCAGCUUUAGCUCGUGAGCUAAAGUUGAGCUAAGGUUAAACUCUUAAGCUAAAGUUGAGCUAAGGUUUAGCUCGUGAGUUGAAAGUGAGCUAGGAGUGAGCUCGGUUUAGAUCAGGCAAGAUGGAUUGAGCUCGAAUAAGCUGGAUUUGAGCUGGACGGUGCUCGUGGAGCUAGAAACGAGCUGGGAUCAGCUUGCCAACAUGUCAUUGCUUGGUUUGACAGACUUGCUCGAUAAAGUUCGCGGGGCGUGCUCGUAUCACAAACUCAUUCACGAAGAAUUGAUCGUGAACUCUACCUAAAUGAUUUCACAUCUUUCGAACAAAAUACUUAUCAUGCUGAUUCACUUGUAUUAUCUUCAAGUUGUAAAGAAAAAAUGAGAGAAAAAGAAAUAAAGGAGAGGCAAGAGGCAAGUAAGAGAGAAAAUGAGAGAUUCUUGAAAGAGAUCGAGAAAGUCAUUGAAAAAACCGUUGAGAAAGAAAAAGAACAAAAAUAGAGUGAAAGAAAAGAGAGGCAAAAGAUGAUCAUCAGAGAAAAUGAGUGGAUUCUAAAAGAAAUCGAGAGAAGCGAAAAAGAAGUCGAAAAAGAAAAAUAGUGUGUGCAAGAAAGUAAAGUUGAAAAAGAGAGUGAGCAAAAAGAAAGUGUGGAAGAAACAAUUGUUUUUGAAGAAAAAGAAAUGAAAGAAAAAGUUGAUACAGAGCAAGAAAAAGAGAGUGUUGUUUCCACUAACCAAUCUAUGAGUUCUUCUUGUCUUACCUUUUCUUUUCAAGUUUCUAACAAUCUGUGUGAUGAAAUUCAACUUCAAUACUUUCCUGAUGAGAGAUGUUUUCGUAUGAUCAGAAAAGGAAAGGUUGAAGAUAAAAUCCAACCGCAAGUAUUCAAAGAUAAGGAAUCUUUAGAAAUCGAGCCACUGCAAACAGGUUUGAAAGUUGUCGGUAAAAUUUUUGAUGGCUUAAUUUAUAAAAGAUUCCCUCAUUUUGAUUUAAUUAGCCCUUAUUCUUUGUUUGUGGUUGAUAAAUCCAUUCUAAGUGGAAGUAUGAGGUGGUGUUCUCUUGACUUGUUUGAUACGACCAAGCCCCGGGCACACUUUUGGAUCAGCUCCCUAAGCAUUGUUUGCAAAUCCAUGCGAGCUGAAUUAGUCCAAUUUCAUUUUGUUAAGCUCCGUUUAGCUCGUUUCCAGCUCACUCGAGCUCAAGUCAACUCACUCAAGCUCAAUUCAGCUCAAUCUUAACCCAAUGAGCUUAUUUUUAGCUUUCUUUAGCUUGCAUUUAUUUUGCUGAAAUAAACCAUUUAAUUUGUCAUUAGUUAAAUUAGUUGUUUAUCUUAAGUUAGUUAAUUUGUUAAAAUCUGGACAAAUAAUUAAUUAAGUGUUUUAGUUAUAUCUAAAUUAAAUACUUAAUUAAUUAUUAUGUUUUAAAUAUGUCUAAAAUUGUUAAUAUGUAUGGCCAAAUUUAAUGUGCAAAUUAUUGAGUUCAUAUGCUGCUAAUUUAAUGUGUUUGAAAUGCAUUUAACUUGCUGAUUUAAUUUUCUGCAGGUUCAUGAACGGAUUGGUGCAAUGUAUGGGAGUGUGCAUGCACAAUUGAGGUUCAAUGGAUGGCAUUUAAAGGAGCACAUGCAUUUGGGACGUUCAUGCAAGAGGGAGUUGCUGAAAGUUCAUGUAUUUGAAGAUUCAUGGAUCAUAUUUAUGGGGGAAAAUACAUGGGACGUUUCAUGCAUGAUUCAUGCAUUUUCAAGAUGACCAUUCAAGUAUUUUAGGCACAUUAAUGCCUCAUUCAGCCAAGGGAGAUGUAGGAUCAUUAAAGAGCUGCACAUUCAUGGAAUUAUGGAGAUUCUUCAAGGCUAAGGAUGCAUGAAUGCAUCAAGUGAAGCAUCAUGAUGGUUCGGCCAAUUCAUGUACCAUCUUCAAGCAUGAACUGGAUUUUAAUGCUAUUUGUGUGAACAUGUUAAAUAGAACAGAAUUUAAGUUAGUGUGAACAACAUAGAUGCCGAAUAUCAAUAGGCAUUUUAGGCUUAUAAAUAGCUUACUUGUUUAUUGUAAAAGGUUACAGAAUUUGAUCAAUUAAACUUAAUAGAACUUUUGUUCUUGUGAGGUUACCUCCUCUCUUCUUUCGUUCGAGUCUCGAAGCGACUUAUCUAGCUUGCUAGUGGUGUCAAUCCGAACCCCAUUGAACUUAUCACCGAAUCGGUGUGGCGUUCAACCAUCUUCCUAUACCUUUGGUUCUUACCUCCAUAUAGGUAACGGGUCAAGGUCCGCUUCUAUCCUUCAUCAAAAUUCACCUUAAGCAAUAUAAGACUCGGGGCAAUACUUUUUAGUAUUGAAUCAUUCUUAAAGUUUGAGUUCUUUAUCCAUUUCCAUUUAUUUAUCAUCUUUGUAACUUAAUUCUUUGUUAAACCGAACCUAUCUUUCAUCAAACCAAAACCCAUCCUUUGAACCCAUUUUGCCUACCUUCCGCUUAUAAAACAUUCAAACUCCAUCUAUCUACAAAUUUGAACGAGCUUCUCGUCGACGAUCGGGCAUCUUAAGUGAACCCGACUCAAUUAAUCAGGCCGGAUCACAUCAUUUGGUAUCAGAGCUACUAAAACGAGGAGUGCCGACAUUCGUAUCAAGCUCGGAGUAGGUUCGAAACGUAAAAAAAAUCAAAAAAAAAAUUUUGAGUUGUAAUUUAAUUUUUUUUCCCUUGUAUUUAGCUUACUAUUGUAUUGGAGUAACAAAAAAAAUCAAAAAAAAAUUUUUGAUUGAAAAAAAAAAUUCAAAAAAAAAAGUGAAAAAAAGCGAGCAAAAAAAAAAGAAAAGAAAAAAAAAAGGUGAGCAAAAAAAAAUCAAGUUUAAAAAAAAAAGUGAAAAGUCUUGCGAGUUUUUAUUUUCUUCUCUUAUUUACUCCGAUCAUCAAGUUUCCCUUCCUACCAUUAUUUACCAUCCCAACGCCACAUUUUAAACCAAUUUUCUUCUUUAUUCAGCCUACCCUACACCUGACAUUAUCCCUUGUAAUCCAUUUUGAAACCGACCCUCAAGCAGCAAAUUAAGUCUAUCGAGACGAAUUAUGAAUCUGUGAGACGAGGUCGAGUGGUAAAAGGCAAGAGAGCGUGAGUUCAUUCAAAAAAAAAGCCUAAAAGAGAGUUCAAACACGAGAGUGAGUGAAUUUUUCUUUUUGAGCGAACUUGAGAGAUUUGUGGUGAGAAUUAUUUUUUCUUUCUAAUUUAACUUUUGUUUUCUAAUAUUUUGUUGAAUCAUGUCUGAAGAAUUUUCUGAAUUUGAAUUCCAAAUGUGGAGACAAGAAAUGCAAAGGAUAAUGCGAUCUGAAUUUCGACAAUUCGACAAAGAUAAAGAAGAUUUGACAUCUACUAUCGUUGACAUCAAGAUUAGUGCAAUCCUUCAAAGAUUGGAAAAUGAACCACAAUGUGAAGAUAUGUUUCACACGCGUUGCCGUGUCCACGAUAAAGUUUGUUGCCUCAUUAUUGAUGGUGGAAGUAGGUCAAACAUGGCUAGUAUUCGAACGGUAAAAAACUUGGCUUGGCCACUACCAAGCAUCCACAACCCUAUCAACUGCAAGGACUUGGUGUUGAAGGCAAAUUUGAAGUUACUCAACAAGUGCGUGUUGCAUUUUCUAUCGGAAGAUACCAAGACGAAGUCCUUUGUGAUGUUGUGCCUAUUCAAGUCUGCCAUUUGUUGCUAGGAGAACCAUGGCAAUCGGAUCGCAAGGUCAUUCACGAUGAACGUACCAAUAGGUAUUCCUUCAAGCAUUAAGGAAGGAAAAUCACUUUAGCGCCGCUCACACCGGAACAAGUGCAAGAAGACCAAUUCAAAAUGAAGCAAUCCAUUGAGCGAGAAAAGGAGAAAGAGAUUGAAAAAGAAAUUGAAAGAAAACAAAAAGAAAAUGAAGAAGAAAAAGAAAUUGCAAAAGAAAAAGAAAUCGAAAAAGUGAGAGAAAAAGAAAAUGAAGAAAAGAAAAUUGAAAAAGAAAAAGCGAAAAAAGAAAUUGAAAGAGAGCUUGAAAAGAAAUCAAGUGAAAAAGAAAGAGAGUCUAAAAAAGAAACGAGUGUCAUGGAAAAAGAAAUUGAGAUUGAAAAAGGAUGUGAAUAAGAGAAAGAAAUCGAAAAAGAAAUUGAGAUUGAACAAAAGUGUGAGGAAAAAGAGAAAAUUGCAAAAGAAAGAAAAGACAAUGAGUUAGAAAAAAAACGAGAGAAAAGGAGGCAAAAGAGCAAGAAAAAAUGAGGAAUCUGUUUACUAAACCACAUGAGAAUUUGUGUUGUUUUGUUUCCUCUUUUCAGGUCUCCGGAAGGCCAAGUGACGAUAAUUUUCAACUCCAAUACCUCUCGAAGGAGAGAAGGUUCAUUUUGGCUGAAAAAGGUAAUGUUCUCAAUGAUCCUAGUUCGCCUAUGCCAAAAGGUAAGCAAGGUAUGAAUGUUGAAAAUUUUAAAGCACUUCUGCCUUACUCGAUUGUUGAUGGACACACUGUUGAUGAUUUGGUCUUUAGAAAGAAUCUGAACUUUGACGUGGCUAUUUGUCAUUCUUUGAUUGAUGAUGAUCCAUUUGUUUUGUCUAAUGAUAAGAAGAUUCUUGCUUUUGAAAAAUAUCAUUUUGAUGGUAUUGGUUGUUUAUCUUUAACUUGCAAUGGAAUGCAUGUUUUGGAUGCGCAAGAUGAAAGUCCAUAUAAAAUGUUCAUUCUCACUGAUCAUGUUGAAAAGGAAUGGAAAUGUAUUGAUGAAUACACCAUUGGCAAGAUUUUUGAUGAAGAGCGAAUAAAUCAGCACCAACAAAAUCUGGAAUUGUGUGAUCAAAAGUUGACAUAUCAUCUGCUUGGUUGUGUUGAUCAUGUGGAUUAUCUAAUUUUUGGUGUGAAAUUUCUAUGUUUUUGUAAAUAUUUUCGAAUGAAAUUUAAAGGGUUUGCUUGUUUGAAUUUGAGUAUGUUAACACCCUCGUUGUUUAAUUUGUGUAAAUUGUUGGAGAUAAAAGGACUCUUUUUGCCAUUUGGAUCGAGUAGUCAAAAUCAUGUCUUUAAUCCUGGAGUUUGCUAUUAUGAAUCAUCCAUGAAAGAAAGCAAGCAUCGUAAAAUUUGUUUGAAUGAAUGUGUAAACAAUCUUUGUUUGUAUGAUACUUUGUCUUUAAGUUUGAAAAUGAGCCAUGUGAAUCUUGUUGGUUUGUUAAGUCAAAAUCAAAAUUUUGUUUUCGGAGGAUGUUCUCAACUGUGGACUAAAAGAUCCGAACAUGUUUUGAAUGAUAAUGAUUUUGAGUUGCUUAGUGCUCUUUCUAUGAAGUCGGUCAUGAAAUUGCCAAAUCAAAUUGAAAUGGCAAGAGAAAAUUUUGUCUUUGACCCCGGUGAACACCAUUCUAUAUCAUUGCCUAAGGUAAUCGAACCAUGGAAAGUUGACUUCCAAAACCAUAGCUAUCAAAUGCCUUGUGAUUUAUGUUUGUUUCCAUCGAAGAAAAAGGUAAGAACGAUUUCUAUUUUCGACCCCGGUAUUGGAUUAUUUGUUCAAACUGUGAAUCAAAUCUCAAAAAGUUCCUUUGUGUUUAAUCUUCAUCGUGUCACUAAUUCGUUUUAUUCUUUUAAAGGUGACAAUGUGAAGUGGUACCCUCCUAAAGAGGGAGGGCAUGCGAAUGAGCUUCUUUUGAUCCGAGUUAAUUGUGGCUUUCAGAAUCUUCAACGAUUUUUCGCGAGUAAAUGGCCCGAUUUGGGGACAAAUCUCUUUAAAGAGGGAGGGGAUGAUACGACCAUGCCCCGGGCACACUUUUGGAUCAGCUCCCUAAGCAUUGUUUGCAAAUCCAUGCGAGCUGAAUUAGUUCAAUUUCAUUUUGUUAAGCUCCGUUUAGCUCGUUUCCAGCUCACUCGAGCUCAAGUCAACUCACUCAAGCUCAAUUCAGCUCAAUCUUAACCCAAUGAGCUUAUUUUUAGCUUUCUUUAGCUUGCAUUUAUUUUGCUGAAAUAAACCAUUUAAUUUGUCAUUAGUUAAAUUAGUUGUUUAUCUUAAGUUAGUUAAUUUGUUAAAAUCUGGACAAAUAAUUAAUUAAGUGUUUUAAUUAUAUCUAAAUUAAAUACUUAAUUAAUUAUGAUGUUUUAAAUAUGUCUAAAAUUGUUAAUAUGUAUGGCCAAAUUUAAUGUGCAAAUUAUUGAGUUCAUAUGCUGCUAAUUUAAUGUGUUUGAAAUGCAUUUAACUUGCUGAUUUAAUUUGCUGCAGGUUCAUGAACGGAUUGGUGCAAUGUAUGGGAGUGUGCAUGCACAAUUGAGGUUCAAUGGAUGGCAUUUAAAGGAGCACAUGCAUUUGGGACGUUCAUGCAAGAGGGAGUUGCUGAAAGUUCAUGUAUUUGAAGAUUCAUGGAUCAUAUUUAUGGGGGAAAAUACAUGGGACGUUUCAUGCAUGAUUCAUGCAUUUUCAAGAUGACCAUUCAAGUAUUUUAGGCACAUUAAUGCCUCAUUCAGCCAAGGGAGAUGUAGGAUCAUUAAAGAGCUGCACAUUCAUGGAAUUAUGGAGAUUCUUCAAGGCUUCGCCAUUAUCACUGUCAUCCACAAGUUCUGGCAUAUCUGGAUCUAUUUUAUCAGAGUCGAAAGUGUACUCACCAUUAUCUUUCAGAAGAAGUAAUCUUGUGUUAGGGCAUUCCCUACUAUAAUGACCACGCCCUUUGCACUUAAAGCACUAAAUCUCACGAGUCCUCUUCGCACUCGAAUCUCCUAAAUUGGGCUGCUUAGAAGGUGUUUGCGUUUUAACAGGAGCCCCUUUUUUCCAAUUUGAUUGCUUGCUUCCAUUACUCAAAGAAGGCUUGUUAGUAACGAAAUGUGAUUUUGAGCUAUUAAAAUCAGAAUUGGAAUUGUUACCUCGGUAAUAUUGCGAAGUCGAGAAGGAACCAAACCUUUGUUCCUUUAGUUGUUGCUCGAUCUCAAUGGCUUUAUGAACUGCUUCUUCCAAAUCAAUGUAAGUUUGUAGCCUCAAUGUAUUAGCUAUCGGCCUGUUCAAACCAUCAAUAAAUCGAACCAUAGUUGUUUCUUCAUCCUCCUCCACAUUAGCUCUCUGAAUGAGCAUCUCCAUCUCUUUAAAAUAUUCAUCCACUGUCCUACUACCUUGGAUAAGUCUUCUCAGCUUUGUUUUAAUUUCUCUAUAGUAGUGAGGUGGAAUAAACCUUUUACGCAUAAUCUGUUUCAACUCAUCCCAUGUCGAAAUCUCACCUUCAUAAUUUUGAUGGCGGUUUACCCCAAGUUGAGUCCACCAACUUAAUGCAUAAUCAGAAAAUUUCAGUGUUGCUAACGCUACCUUUUCAUCAUCCGGACAUUUAUAAUACCGAAACAUAAGUUCAAUCUUAGAUUCCCAUUCACAAUAAGCGUCAGGAUCAUUCUUACCACGAAAUUGGGGAAUUGUGAAUUUCGGUUUUGCCAAAGAAGGUUGCCCACGAUCAUGAAAAUCAUCAUCCAUUCUAGUGACACGUCGAGGGCCGCGCCUCUGGGGUUGGUUAUCCCUAUCUUCUUUGAUUAGAUCUCGAUAUUGAGGUUCUUGAUUCAAUUGCACCUCAUUGAUGGUAGCAGUCAAAGCUCGAAGAGCAGCAGCCUGUUCAUCCAACUGUUGUUUGAAUUUUUUAAAUAUGUCACUAUUAUUAUCACCUGUAGACAUUUUUUUUAAAACCUGCAAAACACUCAACACUCAAAAAUAAAAGUUAUCAAACCUCACCAUUAAUCACUCAAAAAGAAAAAAUCAAAUUCUCAAUGAGGUCAAAUUCAAUCUUGUGAGUUCUUUAUCAGAGUUUAUAUCAACCAAUUAGAGAGUGUGAACCAAACUACCAAAGAAUCCUAAUUUGCACUAGGAUGCCAAAAACUGACGAGACACCAAUUGAUUCGUGUUGCACCGAGGAAGAAGUUGUGCACACGUUUAAAUCCUACUAACACAAGAAACAAGAAGGUGUUAGAUAAUGUUAAGGAAGAAUAAAGGUAAACAAAUGAAAACCUACAGCUAAGAAUCAAUAAAAAUUGCUGAAAACAGAAAACCCGAAAAACUGCGGAGUAACUUGACAACUUCGUUCGAGGUGUUCCCGAUCUCCAAAAAUCACAAAAUUAAAUCUGGAGUGUCCUUAUAUAUUGAAUUUUUGAUCUGGAAAUUUUGGUCACCAAAUUCAACCCGCUGAAUCUUUUUUUAAAUUUUUAUUGAAUUUUGUCUUUUUUUGAUUUUUUGACUUUUUUGACUGAUUUUUUUGCGGGAAUAAUUUUUUUAUAUUCAAUCACAGUGCCAAAAACAUGUAUGUAAAAUUUCAGAUCAAUAGGACAACGUUUACCCACUCAAAUGAAUUUUUUUGAACAAUUUUUCUGGGUAAAACUGCUGUUUAUGCUUUAAAAAAUAGAGAUCAGUUUAGAAAUCAUCCAAGAACACCCAAAACGCCCAAAAUCUGAUACCAAAUGAUAUAAGGUUGCGCGCGGACCAAGAUCGAGUUGCCAAGUCACGGGAAACUCCUACGAAAGCUCUAAACGAACAGAUCUGAAAUCAAAAACAAAGAUUAAGAUUAAACCGAAUUAGAUUUGAAUUUAAAAUUCCCAAAUUCAAUUAAAAGAGCAGCAAGAAGAAAAGAAAUAGAAUCGAUGAAUCAAAUGAAAUUGAGAAGAAAGAAAAGAUGUGAAUCUGCCAAGGAAUUGAUUCGGCCAAGAAUGCCCAAUUUCCAGCAAUCAAUUGAUUCCCAAAUUGAAAGAAAUCCAAUCGGCCAAACCCUAGGAAUUGGGGAUUUUUGGGUUCGAAUGGGUGCUUCCAAUAGGAGAACAACUUAAACGAUGAGAUCUUGAGUUUAAUCAAUGCUGGAAAACAAACAAGAACAGCAAAAUAUAAGAUGAGAAAUCGGCACAAGUAUAAGCAAAGAAAAAUAAAGAAAGAAAUCGAAAAUAGCAAGAAUUAAAGGAUAAGUCCUAAAGAUCCUUGAAAUCCCGAAAGAUUUCACAAAUCUCUUCAAACGGCUCUAAUCUCCCCUCCAAAGAAUAUCGAUGGCAAGAAGAAGGUUGAAGAUGGCUCCCACAAUCAAAAGAUUGUUAAAACAACUUCUAAAGAAAACUCAAGAGAGAAUUCUUGGAGAAAACCCCAAAGAAAAUUCUGCACUUAACAAAUCUGAAAUUUGAUAGAAAAAAUAAUAAUAAGAUGUUUUUACAAAGGGUGGCUAGCCAAUGCUUAUAUAGGCCUCCAACAAAUCCUAAUCUCACAAGUAACUAAUAAAAAAAUUAAACCUAAUUAAUAAAAUAACAAGGUAAAUUCGGCCAUGCACUUAUAUGGGCUGUUUUGGGCCGAAUUUUACAUGUAAUGCUCCUAAAGAUUAAAAAAUUAAAUUAAACAAGUAAGAUGUUUACAAAUUGGGCCCUUUGACAAUUUGGCCUGAUUUUCAACUAAGUAUGAAGAAAUUUCUUGAUUGGGCUGGAUUUUGGUUAUUGGGCCUCGCCUUCAAGAAUUUGGGCUCGUGAUCCAUCUCCUACCAAAAUUGGGUCGUUGACGCUCGUAAUGGAGAUCCAAUGCGUUUUGGCUGCAAGAUUUGGUUUCUUGACCAAGAUUUCCAAGAUUUGAAAUCUUGAUUUUCUUGAUUCUUGAAAUCUCUUCGAACAGCAAAAUUGGGCCAAGAUUCAGUUUCUUGAUUUUCUUGAAAACAAGAAAGUGAAUCUUGAUUUUCUUGUUCUCUCGUGUAUGCAUCUAAGGCCUUGCUAACAAGCUCUUGAAUGGUCCCAUUUAGUUUGGACCACAUUUGUCGGGCCUUUGAUCUUGUUAUUGGGCCUUGUGGCAAUUUGAGCCCAUCACGUUCUUGAACUUGGAUUGGGCCUUUAUGACUCGUAUCAUUGAUAUUAUUGAAAAAGCAUGGGAUUGAUGUUAACGUAGAGUUUCCUUACAUAUGAUCCUAUGUUCUUGAUAUGUUAGUGAAGAUAAAAUAAGAGAAAGUGAUGAAAAAUAGUGUAGAGAAAGAAAAUAAGGGUGUUAUAAACAUGGUAAUUAAUAUCUUGCACUAAAACAAUUUUGGACAACAGCAGUGGUCUAACUUUGAAAAAUCAUAAAACAUUGUGGAAAUUGAAUUAGAAGUUGAAUAAAAUAUGAAAUUAAAUUUUAUUGAGUCUAGUUUUUCAUAGAAGAAAUGGUGUAAGCAAUGAAAUUGUAAAUUGUGAGAUAUAACAAAUUUAGUUAGAUAAGGUCAAAAUGAUUUCGGGUUCCCCUGUUCUGACUUUGGAAAAUCAUCAAAAAUUGCAUAAAAAUAAUUAGGCUCUUAAAGUUAUAUGUUUAAAAUUAUGAAUGAGUCUAUUUUCAAUAAAAACAAACGAUAAUAUCAUAUGAAUCCUGUAUAAUGAGAUAAUUAAUUUUUAGUAAAGAAGGGUUGGAACUGUCAAACAGCAGAAUAAGGGUGACUUUAAAGAAUAAACUGUACUUAUUGGUUAAAGAAAAAAUUAUGAAAAUUUUAUAAAAGAAGACAUAUGAGUCUAGUUUCAGGGAAAAUUAACAGAUCUUAAUUUGGAGUUCUAUAGCUCCAUAUAUAAAUAAUUUAGUGAUUAUGAUGCAGAUAGACAGCUUGAAUAUUCAUAAAAGUAAAUAAUAAAAAUUAUAGAUAAUGUUACUUACAAGUGUGUAUAUACAUUAAGGAUGUGGAAUGGAGAGGAGGAGGAGGAAAAAUAUGUAUGAAUAUUCAUCUAGCAUGGCUAAUUUGCAUAUUUUAGGUUCAGGGACUAAAUUGAAUAAAAGUAAAACUUUAUGGGCAAUUUUGUAAAAAAUUCAGAAAUGACCAAAUUGCAUGAAAUGGAUUAUUUUAUUAUUUAAAUUAUAAAAUUGAAUGAAAUUAUUAAUUUAGUUCAAGAUUGGGGGAAAACAUGUUUUAGGGAUUAAAUUGAAAAGAGUUGAAAUUAUGGAAAAUUCUGAUAUUUUAUAGAAUUCAUGGACUGUUAUCAAUAUGUAUGAGAAUAAUAGCUGGAAAUAAGGAUUAAAUUGCAAGAAUUUUAUUUUCCUGACCCUAAGGAUGAAAUCGUCAUUAAUUAAAACUUUAGGGGAAAAAUGGUAAUUUUACCUAGAGCAUUAAUUAAAUGCAUUAGAAUAUGAAAUGAAUGAAAAUGAUGAUCAAAUUUAUUUAUAAAGAUCCAGACGACUCAAAUACGAAACUUGAUCGUGGAAAAGAAAAGAUAUCGGAUUAAUGAAAUUAUAAACACAAACAAGCAAUGAGGUAAGUUUGUGUAACUUGAAUUGUAUUUUUAAAUACUUGAAAUAUGUGGUUAUGUGAUGAAAAUAUGAUUUGAAUGUUCAAUUCAUGAUAAUUGAUGAAAUAUUGAUAAUACUCGAUAUAAAUUGAAAAUAAAUCCCGGUUGAAUGGAAUGGUUCGAUGGAUCAUUGGAAAAGGAAUUGACGGUAAAAAAGGAUCUAGCCCGGAUGGGUGAUCCUAUUCUGAUAUAUCCCUCUCGAAGAAUAUGUGUAAAAUGGAUUUAGCCCGGACAGGUAAUCCGAAUUAAGGUCUAAAUUUAGCCUGGACUGGUAAUUCAGAUCCAAGCUCAUUAGAGUAAUUGUCGUUGUAGGGGAUUUAGCCUGGGCUGGUAAUCCUGCUGUAAGAAUGAAGUUGGCGGGAGUGUGCUUUCUAAAAUGAAAUGUGUAAGACCAUGGUUGAAAGAUACCAUGGCAACAUGACAUGAAAUGAAUAAGACCAUGGUUGAAAGAUACCAUAGCAACAUGAUAUGAAAUGUGUAAGACCAUGGUUGAAAGAUACUAUGGCAACGCAACAUGAAAUGAAUAAGACCAUGGUUGAAAGAUACCAUGGCAACAUGAUAUGAAAUGUGUAAGACCAUGGUUGAAAGAUACCAUGGCAACAGGAUAUAAAAUGUGUAAGACCAUGGUUGAAAGAUACCAUGGCAACAUGACGGGAAUGAAUAAGACCAUGGUUGAAAGAUACCAUGGCAAUGCAACAUGAAAUAAACAAGACCAUGGUUGAAAGAUUCCAUGGCAACCUGACAGAAAAUGAGUAAGACCAUAGUUGAAAGACACUAUGGCAUCAUGUCGAAGAUAAAUAAGAUUGUGGAUGGGAGAUGCUAUGACAUCAGUUGAACAAUUGAUAUUCAGGUAAUAUGUAUCAGGUGAUGAAUGGUUAUAUGAAAUGGUUCUGUGAAAUGUUUACAAGAAUUGGUCAUAUGGAAAUAUAUGUACAAAAUAGUUGAAUGAAAUAAUUAAGAAGAUAGAUAAAUGAAAUAAGUAUAGGUACAUGUAAUUUAAUUUAUGUUAAUUUUAAUAUGAGCUAUUACCGAAAUAAAUAUACAUAAGAUAUAUGGAAAUUAUGGUGCAUGAAAUAAUGAUAUAACGAAAUGAAUGAUAUGCUCAUGAAGAAACAGUAAGAGAAUAAUAUGUCUUGUGACAUGUACAUAUAUGAUUAUCUUGAAAUGUUGAUACAAGGAAAUUAUGUAAGUAAAAACAAUUAUUAAACUCAAGUGUGACACGUCGAGAAAUUACGUAUAUCAAUGUUGGAUUUAUAUGAAAUAUGUACUAGUAUACUAAGAAUGUUGCUGUUUGAUGCUUAUACAAGUGUCAAGCUGUUGAUUGAAUGGUAAUAUAUUUAUUUAUAUGAUGCAUUAAAUCGGUAAGUAUUUAAUUUUUUUAGGUGAUUUGCAAAUUCUUGUAAUGCUCCGAAACCCUGUUUUGAUGACGGAUAUAGGUUAGGGGUAUUACAUACUCAACUUCGAAUGUCUUGUUAAAAUUAGGUAAAGACAAUAACGGAGCAUCAGUUAGACAUUCCUUCAUCUUAUUAAAUGCAUUUUCUUGAUCAUCAGUCCAAUUAAAGGGUGAGUUUUUCUUGAUAAUACCUGUCAAGGGGGCGGCUAAGGUACUAAAUGAUACACAGCCACACCUUUCGAGUUGCCAGCUGCUAAAGUAGAUCCUCUUGAGUUACCUAUAGGACCGAUCACCAGAGCCCGAGCCAAGAGGUUCAAAGACACAAUUUCAGCUUUAGUUAAUCGAGCUUGGGCCUAAUCUAUCUCCAUCUUACUCAAGAGUUCAUGGACUAACUCAACGAGUCAUCCUUGUAAUCUCUUCCUAUCUUGUCCAGCUCACAAUUAGCUUAGCAAGCUCGGUUCCAGCUCAACAAGUUCACAUCCAGCUCAACUUCAGCUCAUGAGCUUGUUCUCAGCUCAACUUUAGCUCUCGAGCUCAAACUCAGCUCACUUCUAGCUCACGAUCUCGGACUUAGCUCGAUUAUAACUCACGAACUUAAUCGUAGCUCAUUAAGUUUAUUUAUAACUUACUAUAAUAGUGUUGACUUUUACUUGAAUAAGUUCAUUAAUUAGCUAUCUUUAAUUAGCUAUGUUUUAAUUAAGUUCACAUUAGUAAUUAAUUAUGUUUUAUGUUUAUUAAUAUUACAUGUUUUAAUUAUGUAAUAAUUGAAUUAAUGUUUGUUUGGGAUAUUUGUUCACAUUUGUGCCAAAAUUAAGGUGUUCAUAUGGGAUUUAAUGAAUUGAUUUUUUUCAUGUAAGUGCAUUACUUGGGACGCAUGGUGCAUGGAAGAAGUAAUUUUGGUGUGCUGCCCCUUUGAGUUCCCUAUGUGAAAAUUCAGUCAUGCCUCUCCAAAUAACCAAGGUGGUCAUUAAGUGCUCCUUAAAGCUUUCACACUUGGCCAAACUUGUGUUCACAUUCCAUGGACCAUUCGGCUAGCUUUGUUCACAUUUUGAUACGAGUCACAAAAGCCCAAAUUCUUGAAGGCGAGGCCCAAUAAGCAAAUUCCCAGCCCAAUCAAGAAAUUCAUCCAUACUUAGUUGAAAAUCAGGCCAAAUUGUCAAAGUGGCCCAAGUUGUAAAGUUUUAUUUUUAUUUAUUUAUUUAUUUAUUUACUUAGUUUAAAUUUUUAUGUCAAUAUUCAGUCCAAGAGUCCCAGAUAAAAUGACCUUUGACCGAAUUUCCAUAUUAAAAUAAUUUGGAGUUUUUUUUAUUUUAGUUUUCUAAUUAGAUUAGGACUAGUUAUAAUGCCUAUUUAAAGGCAUGGCUGUCCACCUUGUUAAACACUUAUCAUUAUUAUUAAAAUUUUCAGAUUUGUUGAGAGCAGAAUUUUCUUUGAGUUUUCUCCAAGAUUUCUCUCUUGAGUUUUCUUUAGAAGUUGUUUUAACAAUCUUUUUGAUUGUGGGAGCCAUCUUCAACCUUCUUCUUGCCAUUGAUAUUCUUUGGAGGGGAGAUUAGAGCUGUUUGAAGGGAGUUGUGAGAUCUUUCGAGAUUUCAAGGCUUCUUAGGACUUAUCUUUUAAUUUCUUACUGUCAAUUCUUUCUUUAUUUCUACUUGGGCUGAAUCAUUAUCUAAUCUAUUUUCUGUUCUUAUUGUGUUUUCAGCCUUUUUCUAUCUUAAGGAAUCAGCCCAAAAAUCCCCAAUUUCUAGGGUUUUUCUAUACUCUUUUUGGGUGAAAUUAGAUUGUCGAAAUUUGGGGAAAACUAUCUUGGUGUUCAAUUGGGCAGAAUCACAAUCUCCUUGAGGGUUUCAAGAACCCUAACACUUAUUUCUAUUCUCUAUUUGAUUCUUUACUGUUUUGGGGAUUUUAUUUAAGAUCUGAAAAUUCAAAAAUCUAAUCUUUUAAUUUUCUAUUUCGUUUCAGAUCUAAUUGUUUAGGGUUUUCGUAGGAGUUUCCCGUGACUUGGCAACUCGAUCUUGGUCCGCGCGCAACCUCGUAUCAUUUGGUAUCAGAUUUUGGGCGUUUUGGGUGUUCUUGGUUGAUUUCUAAACUGAUCUCUAUUUUUUAAAUUACAAACAGCAGUUUUACCCAGAAAAAUUUUCGAAAAAAAUUCAUUUGAGUGGGUAAAAGUUUCCUGAUUGAUCUGAAAUUUUACAUACAUAUUUUUGGCACUGUUAUUGAAUAUACAAAAAUAUUUCCCGCAAAAAAAUAAGUCGAAAAAGUCAAAAAAUUGAAAAAAUACGAAAUCCAAUAAAAAAUUAAAAAAAUAUUCAGCGGGUUGAAUUUGGUGCCCAAAUUUUCCAGAUAAAAAAUUCAAUAUUUGAAGACAUUCCAGAUUUAAUUUUGUGAUUUUUGGAGAUCAGGAACACCUCUAACGAAGUUGUCAAGUUACUCCGCAGUUUUUCGGGUUUUCUGGUUUUAGCAAUUUUUAUUGAUUCUUAGCUGUAGGUUUUCAUUUGUUUUCUUUUUAUUCUUCUGUUACGUUAUCUAACACCUUCUUGUUUCUUGUGUUAGUAGGAUUUACACGUGUGCACAACUCCUUCCUCGGUGCAACACGAAUCACUUGGUGUCUCGUCAGUUUUUGGCAUCCUAGUGCAAAUUAGGAUUCUUUGGUAGUUUGGUUCACACUCUCUAAUUGGUUGAUAUAAACUCUGAGAAAGAACUCACAAGAUUGAAUUCGACCUCAUUGAGAAUUUGAUUUCUUUCUUUUGAGUGAUUAACGGUGAGGUUUGAUAACUUUUAUUUUUGAGUGUUGAGUGUUUUGCAGGUUUUAAAAAAAAAUGUCUACAGGUGAUAAUAAUAGUGACAUAUUUAAAAAAGUCCAACAACAGUUGGACGAACAGGCUGCUGCACUUCGAGCGUUGACUGCUACUAUCAAUAAGGUGCGGUUGAAUCAAGAGCCUCAAUAUCGAGAUCAAAUUCAAGACGAUGUGGAUAACCAGCCUCCUGCUCAUAGGUGCGCUCCUCGACGUGUCCCUAGAACUGAUUAUGAUCUUCAUGAUCGUGGACAACCCUCUUUGGCAAAUCCAAAGAGCGAGCAGCAACGAGAACAUCUCUUUCAUACUCGCUGCCAUGUACAAGGUAAGCUUUGUAGAGUUAUUAUUGAUGGUGAAAGUUGCUCGAACGUAGCCAGCACGACGAUGGUGGAAAAGCUUUGCUUAACCACUACCAAGCAUCCACGACCUUAUCAACUACAAGGGCUUAGCAACGAAAGCCAAUUUAAGGUCACUCAACAAGUGCGCAUCGCCUUUUCUAUCGGUAAGUAUCAAGACGAAGUCGUGUGCGACGUAGUACCUAUUCAAGCCUGCCAUUUGUUGCUAGGAGAACCAUGGCAACUAGAUCGAAAGGUCACUCACGAUGGUCGUACCAAUAGGUAUUCUUUCAAGUAUCAAGGAAGGAAAAUCACCUUAGUGCCGCUCACUCCAGAACAAGUCCAUGAGGACCAAAUCAAACUGAAAAAUUCUGUUAAAACAAGUGAGGAAAAAGAAAAAGAGAAUGAAAAAGAGCAAAAAGAGAUUGAGAGUGAAAAAGAAGUUGAAGAAAGAAGAGAAAAUGAGUUAGAAAAAGAAACAAAAGAAAAAGACGAGGAAAGGCUAGUGAGGAAUGUUUCCACUAACCAAGUUAUGAAUUUUUCUUGUGUUGCUACUUUUCAGGUUCCCGAAAGAUCGAAAGAUAACUUUCAACUUCAAUACCUCUCAAAUGAAAGACGCUUUCAUACGAUCAACUUAGGCAAAGAUGAAAUCACACUACAUGAUCCCGAAGGUAAUCAAGGUAAGGAAAUUUUAGAAACCGAGUCCAGUGCAGAUUUGAAAAUUAUUAAUAAAACUUUUGGUGACUUAGUUCUUAAAAGAUCCCCUCAUUUUGAUCCAAUUAAUUGUUACUCUUCGAUUGUGGUUGAUAAAGUCAUUAUGAAAAGAAGCGUGAUUUGUUAUUCUCUUGAUUUACCUUGUGUAAAAUCCUCGAAUUUGUCCAAAUCUGUUUUGGAGAAUAAGGUAACGAAAUUUUCCAAAUUUGUUUUCAAUUUAUAUUCGUGCCUUAAACAUUUUAUGUGGUUGUACAUGAAGUUUGAGUUCCAUUUGACAAACGUUAACUCAACAACGAAGAUUCGACUACACUAUGCCCCCGAUGAGCGAAGGUUUGUUUUAAAUGAAAAAGGUAAAAUCGACCCUUAUUCUUCUGCUUAUCGAGGUAAGAUGCUUGAAACCUUUGAAACACUUUUGUACUCCUCGGAUAGUGAUAAAGAUCGUGUUGAUGAACACUUAGAUCGAAACGUGCUUGACUGUCCUAUUUUAUUUAUUGAUGAUCUAUCUAUUUUGAUGGUUGAUAAAAAGAUUCUUGUUUUUGAUAAUGCAUGUGUGAGUGAAUCUAUAGACCGUCGAUUAAUGCAUGGUAUGAUUAUGCAACUCUGUGAACCAUGUGAAUAUUUUCAAAUACCUACUUGUGACGAUUAUGUUUACCAUUUAAUUUAUUACUCGCAAUUUAUUCAUGGUUUGUAGGAACAAUGUGAGAUGACUGAAUGCCUUAAAACAUGUCCAUCUUUGUUUCAAAUAUUUGACGAGGCAGUGGUGAGUAAAUUAGAUUGUUUGCAUGGUAAUCUGAAUCUGUCCAUUCACAUGCGUUAUACCUGUUCUGUUAUGCUUAUGAUUGGAUUACAAGCUUGUUUCCGUUGCUAUUUACUAUCUCAUGGCUAUUCUUUU
Molecule: long non-coding RNA, 22884 nt
Filed under: Gossypium barbadense (sea-island cotton)
Lineage: Eukaryota; Viridiplantae; Streptophyta; Magnoliopsida; Malvales; Malvaceae
Description: long non-coding RNA (GBAR_LNC006463)
Source: RNAcentral